Molecule: ribosomal RNA, 532 nt
Filed under: uncultured bacterium
Lineage: Bacteria
Description: bacterial SSU rRNA
Rfam family: Bacterial small subunit ribosomal RNA
Source: RNAcentral
CCUUGACAUACUAAGAACUUUCCAGAGAUGGAUUGGUGCCUUCGGGAACUUUAGAUACAGGUGCUGCAUGGCUGUCGUCAGCUCGUGUCGUGAGAUGUUGGGUUAAGUCCCGNAACGAGCGCAACCCUUUUCCUUAUUUGCCAGCGGGUCAUGCCGGGAACUUUAAGGAUACUGCCAGUGACAAACUGGAGGAAGGCGGGGACGACGUCAAGUCAUCAUGGCCCUUACGGCCAGGGCUACACACGUGCUACAAUGGUCGGUACAAAGGGUUGCUACCUCGCGAGAGGAUGCUAAUCUCAAAAAGCCGAUCGUAGUCCGGAUCGCAGUCUGCAACUCGACUGCGUGAAGUCGGAAUCGCUAGUAAUCGCGGAUCAGAAUGCCGCGGUGAAUACGUUCCCGGGCCUUGUACACACCGCCCGUCACACCAUGGGAGUUUGUUGCACCAGAAGUAGGUAGUCUAACCGCAAGGAGGACGCUUACCACGGUGUGGCCGAUGACUGGGGUGAAGUCGUAACAAGGUAGGCGUAGAUGA